Molecule: ribosomal RNA, 464 nt
Filed under: uncultured bacterium
Lineage: Bacteria
Description: bacterial SSU rRNA
Rfam family: Bacterial small subunit ribosomal RNA
Source: RNAcentral
CCUACGGGACGCAGCAGUGGGGAAUAUUGCACAAUGGGCGCAAGCCUGAUGCAGCUAUGCCGCGUGUAUGAAGAAGGCCUUCGGGUUGUAAAGUACUUUCAGCGGGGAGGAAGGUGUUGUGGUUAAUAACCACAACAAUUGACGUUACCCGCAGAAGAAGCACCGGCUAACUCCGUGCCAGCAGCAGCGGUAAUACGGAGGGUGCAAGCGUUAAUCGGAAUUACUGGGCGUAAAGCGCACGCAGGCGGUCUGUCAAGUCGGAUGUGAAAUCCCCGGGCUCAACCUGGGAACUGCAUUCGAAACUGGCAGGCUAGAGUCUUGUAGAGGGGGGUAGAAUUCCAGGUGUAGCGGUGAAAUGCGUAGAGAUCUGGAGGAAUACCGGUGGCGAAGGCGGCCCCCUGGACAAGACUGACGCUCAGGUGCGAAAGCGUGGGGAGCAAACAGGAUUAGAUACCCUAGUAGUC